UGAGUGUCAGUGAGUUUAAAUCCAUUUUGAAGGUCAUUUCUCUUCAAAUCAACAAGGCUUAUACCAGGCACUGGGCUGGGUGCUUGGGACACAAAACACAGCUGCCCUGAAGAAGCUUACAUUUUAUAGGAGAAAAACAAGAAAAUAAAUGUAAGAUACAUCUCCUAUCUCCUCACUUUAGUCUGCAUAAUCCCCCAAAGGACCAGGCUUAUCCUUUUUCUCUAUGCCUCUACAAUGCCUAGGAGAGAGCUCUGCCCAAAUGUUUGAAGCCUUAGAAACAGUGCUGAUUGAGUGAUCCAUCUGUCAAGCAUGUCCCUGUGGAAGAUCCUUCAAGUCAUGGGCAUACAACUGGGACUUCAAGAUCAUCCUGUUUCAGCACCCUCAUUUCACAGGUUCUCUACCUCCACCAUCACCACCACCCCUGAUCCCAAGAGAAAGCAAUCUGACCCAUCUGUUCUUCUAAUCAUGGCACUAGUCUUGGGUUCCAGCAACCCUCAAGCAGGCUGAGUGAGUCACUAGGAACCAAAUACUUCAGAUACCUCUUGGACUAUUUCUGAACUCUCCCAGACUGUGGGAGAAUGGAAGAGAACCACACACUGAAGUCAUCAGGAAGAUCGGAGGAAGACUAAACGGUACAGGAUGUGAUGGGUAGCUGAGAAGCGGGUGGGACCGGAUCCAUUUUAACAGGUUAUUUCCCCUUAUUAAAGGUUCCCAUCAUGGUUAAUCUCCUUCUUCUUUCUGCAAAUCAAGAACUCCUACAGGCCCUGGAAGAUUCCUAGUUCCAUUUCCAGACAUACCCAGACACCCAGAAUAGGUUCAUCCUGUGUGUUGUAAUUUCUUAUAAUAACAUACCAUACCAUAGCCAUCCUAAGCAUUGCCAACCCAUAGCUACCAGCCAAUGGUGAAAACUUUGUGCUCUGCCCUUUACCCCCUGAGCAUCCCUCCUUGCCUUUAGCCCUUCCCUUGGAGACCCAGAUCUUCAGCCUUCUCCCCAAACUUCAUCCCCUCAAGGAUCAGUGCUAGACCUUCCUCCGCAUCCUCAAACUUUGUUGUUUUGUUCAGUCAUUUUUCAGUCACGUUCUACUCUGAGUCAAACAUCGGGUAUUUGCUAUAUGCUUGAAGCCCCAUAACAUGGGUAGUUUUAAUUUAUAAGUAAAGGAUUAAUAAAAGUGUUAACUGUUAGGGAAACA
RNAcentral lists this long non-coding RNA (1190 nucleotides) under Phascolarctos cinereus (koala). RNAcentral describes it as "lncRNA (ENSPCIG00000036559.1)". Lineage: Eukaryota; Metazoa; Chordata; Mammalia; Diprotodontia; Phascolarctidae. The record is from RNAcentral.